Molecule: long non-coding RNA, 700 nt
Filed under: Phoenix dactylifera (date palm)
Lineage: Eukaryota; Viridiplantae; Streptophyta; Magnoliopsida; Arecales; Arecaceae
Description: long non-coding RNA (PDAC_LNC005151)
Source: RNAcentral
UGGAUUAAUUAGGGGAAGAGAGGUCCCCAUGAACCCAUUUCACCUAGGUAAGGCUUGUACUAGAGGACCAUUAUAAGACAUAUUCAGGUGAUGGAGCAAAAAAAGUAUAUUUAAGAAAAAUUGUCUCAGAAUUAUAGGGAAUCCUUGCCUUGGGCAAAAGAGUUUUAUAAAUCCAUCUUAGGUUUACAUUUCUUUCUAUGAAGAGCUACAAUCUCAAUUUUCAAAUCAAAUGCUAAAUGAAUUCCAAAGUGUCAAUUACUUCUUUCAUCAGAAUCUACAUCAUCAAAGAUGCUUUAAAACCACCUUUCUCAAAGAUCAAGAAAAAUUUAGAGACAUCAUGGAUAAAAACUAAUCUUUUCUUAGGAGAAAUGGUUCAACCGAUAUAAGUGCAUAGGUGGAGAUCUGACCUAGAUAAAUUUGAUAAGCAUCAGUGCAAACGAUGAUCUGAAGGCCAUAAAAGCUGGAUCAGCUCAGCCUACAAUUGGAUCUGACUAAACAAAACCCUUAGACUGAAUAGAUGGGGAUUAGAUACAAACCAUAUAUAGAGAAGACACCAAUUCAACUUGGCUAUGUAUUUGGUGGGAUAAAUCAAAAUCUAAUUGCUCUGCGUAAUAAUAGUCCUUAAAGGAGCCAAAUCCACAAAAGAUUACAAAGUUUAUAAGCAGCCUAGAUAUGAAAACCCAAGAGGCCUUCUCAAGAG